This 422-nucleotide ribosomal RNA is filed under the name uncultured eukaryotic phytoplankton. RNAcentral describes it as "bacterial SSU rRNA". It matches the Rfam family "Bacterial small subunit ribosomal RNA", at positions 358 to 795 of the family's 1533-position model. The record is from RNAcentral.
GGAAUUUUCCGCAAUGGGCGAAAGCCUGACGGAGCAAUGCCGCGUGGAGGAAGACGGCCCGUGGGUUGUAAACUCCUUUUCUCAGAGAAGAAGCUCUGACGGUAUCUGAGGAAUAAGCAUCGGCUAACUCCGUGCCAGCAGCCGCGGUAAUACGGAGGAUGCAAGCGUUAUCCGGAAUCAUUGGGCGUAAAGCGUCUGUAGGUGGUUUUGUAAGUCCGCUGUAAAAGAGUACAGCUUAACUGUAUAUGGGCAGUGGAAACUACAAGACUGGAGUGUGGUAGGGGUAGAGGGAAUUCCCGGUGUAGCGGUGAAAUGCGUAGAUAUCGGGAAGAACACCAGUGGCGAAGGCGCUCUGCUGGGCCAUAACUGACGCUCAUGGACGAAAGCCAGGGGAGCGAAAGGGAUUAGAUACCCCUGUAGUC